This is a non-coding RNA of Nicotiana tabacum (common tobacco), 503 nucleotides long. The record is from RefSeq and is a predicted model, not a curated record. Lineage: Eukaryota; Viridiplantae; Streptophyta; Magnoliopsida; Solanales; Solanaceae.
CUUUUACAUUAAGCUUUCAACAUCAUAUCAUCUACUAUUAUAGCCAGCGGGCCUUUAUUGAUGCUGAGGAAUGACCAUAAGGUUCAAAUUUGACAUGGAAAUGACGCUGUGUCUCAAUCUUCUGGAAGUUCUUUCCAAGCUGGCUGAGAGAGGCAUUUCUUUACUGAUCAUUCUUGAGUACCCUCUGCUUCUUAGGAUGUACGCAUAAAUGUACUGGCUUGCAUAUGUAUAAGGUCAUGUAGAUGCCAUGGACAUUGACCUGGAGAACGCGAAACAGAUUCUUGGAUGCUUGUCAGGAACUAAAGGUUCGAUCAUUUCCAAAUACAAGCAUCUUGGCUUUUUUACUCCUUGCAGUCUGACGCACAAAGUUGAAACUAUUAUUGUCUCUGUGCUAUCAGAGAUAAUUCCUAUGCUGUAUCUUUGAGUGUUGACAUUAUUGUUCGAGUUGAUAUAUCAGUCAUAGUUGUACUUGGAGAACUUCUAAUUGUUUUGUGGUUAAGCCA